Molecule: ribosomal RNA, 372 nt
Filed under: uncultured bacterium
Lineage: Bacteria
Description: bacterial SSU rRNA
Rfam family: Bacterial small subunit ribosomal RNA
Source: RNAcentral
UACGUAGGGUGCAAGCGUUAAUCGGAAUUACUGGGCGUAAAGCGUGCGCAGGCGGUGAUAUAAGUCAGAUGUGAAAUCCCUGGGCUCAACCUAGGAACUGCAUUUGAGACUGUAUCGCUAGAGUGUGUCAGAGGGGGGUAGAAUUCCACGUGUAGCAGUGAAAUGCGUAGAUAUGCGGAGGAACACCGAUGGCGAAGGCAAUCCCCUGGACCUGUACUGACGCUCAUGCACGAAAGCGUGGGGAGCAAACAGGAUUAGAUACCCUGGUAGUCCACGCCCUAAACGAUGUCUACUAGUUGUCGGGACUUAAUUGUCUUGGUAACGCAGCUAACGCGUGAAGUAGACCGCCUGGGGAGUACGGUCGCAAGAUUA